UUCUUUUCAUUUUAGUGAGUACCAGUUAGAAACGCGGUUUAGUCUUUUGAUUGUUUUCUUUAUUUGCAAAUGUAUAUUUUGCUGGAAGGAUUGUAUCUCUGUUGC
Chelonoidis abingdonii (Abingdon island giant tortoise) is the source of this 105-nucleotide non-coding RNA. The record is from RefSeq and is a predicted model, not a curated record. NCBI's taxonomy places the organism in Eukaryota, Metazoa, Chordata, Testudines, Testudinidae.